GCACCUGUAGCUUAACGGUCAAUGAGGUGCCGAGUGCGAAGCGGUGGAAGCCCCGAGUGCCUGAUCGUAUCUAACCAGGGCAUCAAUAUCGAUUAGGGGCCUGGGAGGGAAGCCGUGGAGUCAAGGAGCCUCAAAAAGCGCCGGCUUUGGGGGCCGGAGAUUGCGGGUUCGAAUCCCGUCAGGUGCA
RNAcentral lists this transfer RNA (187 nucleotides) under Acidobacteriota bacterium. Its description in RNAcentral is "tRNA-Pro". It matches the Rfam family "tRNA". Rfam says of the family: Transfer RNA (tRNA) molecules are approximately 80 nucleotides in length. Their secondary structure includes four short double-helical elements and three loops (D, anti-codon, and T loops). Further hydrogen bonds mediate the characteristic L-shaped molecular structure. tRNAs have two regions of fundamental functional importance: the anti-codon, which is responsible for specific mRNA codon recognition, and the 3' end, to which the tRNAs corresponding amino acid is attached (by aminoacyl-tRNA synthetases). tRNAs cope with the degeneracy of the genetic code in two manners: having more than one tRNA (with a specific anti-codon) for a particular amino acid; and 'wobble' base-pairing, i.e. permitting non-standard base-pairing at the 3rd anti-codon position. The record is from RNAcentral. Lineage: Bacteria; Pseudomonadati; Acidobacteriota.